Molecule: unclassified non-coding RNA, 395 nt
Filed under: uncultured fungus
Lineage: Eukaryota; Fungi
Description: partial contains small subunit ribosomal RNA, internal transcribed spacer 1, and 5.8S ribosomal RNA
Rfam family: Eukaryotic small subunit ribosomal RNA (bases 1-73)
Source: RNAcentral
GCAAACUUGGUCAUUUAGAGGAAGUAAAAGUCGUAACAAGGUUUCCGUAGGUGAACCUGCGGAAGGAUCAUUAUCGAAACAUUGCAGCUGUCAGGCUGUUGCUGGCCUCUCUUCAUUGAGGGUGCAUGUGUGCACGUCUGCAGUCGCUUUCAACCUCAUCCACCUGUGCACUACCGUAGACUUGGAUACCUAUCACGAGCGAUCGCUGCGUGGCUUUUGAGAGGUGUGUGGGCUCUUCUAGUCCCCCCACUCCUUUCGAUUUCCAGGUCUAUGUCACUUUACACUCUCUUUGUAUGUCGUUUGAAUGUCACGUUUAUCGGACUUCAAGUCCUUUAAAUCUUAAUACAACUUUCAACAACGGAUCUCUUGGCUCUCGCAUCGAUGAAGAACGCAGC